This is a long non-coding RNA of Quercus lobata, 997 nucleotides long. RefSeq lists it as uncharacterized. The record is from RefSeq and is a predicted model, not a curated record. Lineage: Eukaryota; Viridiplantae; Streptophyta; Magnoliopsida; Fagales; Fagaceae. The transcript has 2 exons.
AAGAAAACCCUACUUAAAAAUCUGCCACGCGGCUGAAAACUGAAAACAACGAAAAUGUGAAUGCCACCCGCUGUAUCCAUUGGUCAAAUCAUAUAAAUUCAAUCCAUACCAUAUGUAUGUUCACAUUCACUGAUUCAUUUCUUUAAACACCAAUAAAGUCCCUCACUCUUGCUUCUCAAAAAAAAAAAAAAAAAAAAUCCCUCACUAUCGAUUAAAAGCAGAUACCUUCACUGAUACGAGUAAACCUUUCAAAAUCUCAGAAAUCUUCACUCAACCCUACCUCUAACCAUCACCUAUUUUUCAUUCCCAAAAGACUGCCUCUCAUGCCAUUUACAAGGUUUAGCCCGUCGGACCUGCUAUUGGGUCAAACGGCAGCAAAGAGAGUAGGAAAAAAAAUUUUAAACAAAGAAGGUACAGGCAAUAGAGAGAGGCUUUGGUUGAACUUUGAAGUUCAUGGAGAAGACAAUAGGUUUUUAUUUUUAUUUUUUUUAAUGUGUUAUGAAAUUUAGUCUCUUUGUCUCUAUUUCUCUCCCAUUAUUUUAUAUUGUUCAAAAAAUUUAUCACGCUCUUUGUUCAGUUCAAAUUUUUCGAUAUCAUUUUUUUUCUCUAUGCAAAUGUUAAUGCUUUGUUAUUCACUGGAAUUGGUAUGAAAUUUAGUCUCUUUGUCUCUAUUUCUCUCCCAUUAUUUUUUAUUGUUCAAAAAAUUUAUCAUGCUCUUUGUUUAGUUCUAAUUUUUUGAUAUCAUUUUUUUUUUCUUUGUGCAAAUGUUAAUGCUUUGUUAUUCACUGGAAUUGUUUUAGGGACCCAUGAAAUAUCUCUAGUCUACAAUUCAAAUAUUAUCAGUUCUAGAUCUCUUGCAGAUAGCAAAAGAUUUCACAUCUUACCCUUUUUCAUAACCUUCACAAAUCCAAAGUCGAAACAGAACAACAUUUUGGCCAAACUUCUACUUCUCUUAUUGUGUUUGCUGUGUUUAUAUUCAAUUGCUACUCUUAUUGAU